This 307-nucleotide ribosomal RNA is filed under the name uncultured eukaryote. RNAcentral's name for it is "partial 18S ribosomal RNA". It matches the Rfam family "Eukaryotic small subunit ribosomal RNA", at positions 1470 to 1796 of the family's 1831-position model. The record is from RNAcentral.
CCCUUAGACGUUCUGGGCCGCACGCGCGCUACACUGACAAAGGCAACGAGCUACUCUUCACCGAAAGGUGUGGGUAAUCUUUUGAAACUUUGUCGUGCUGGGGAUAGAUCCUUGCAAUUUUUGAUCUUAAACGAGGAAUUCCUAGUAAGCGCAAGUCAUCAACUUGCGUUGAUUACGUCCCUGCCCUUUGUACACACCGCCCGUCGCUACUACCGAUUGAAUGGUUUAGUGAGGCCUUCGGAUCCGCGACUUGUUUGUGGAGAAGUUGGACAAACUCAGUCAUUUAGAGGAAGUAAAAGUCGUAACA